Molecule: ribosomal RNA, 261 nt
Filed under: uncultured archaeon
Lineage: Archaea
Description: partial 16S ribosomal RNA
Rfam family: Archaeal small subunit ribosomal RNA
Source: RNAcentral
AGGGUGUAAACGCUGCAGACUUGGUGUUGGGAACCCUUCGGGGGUGCUCAGUGCCGGAGAGAAGUUGUUAAGUCUGCUACUUGGGGAGUACGUCCGCAAGGAUGAAACUUAAAGGAAUUGGCGGGGGAGCACCGCAACGGGAGGAACGUGCGGUUUAAUUGGAUUCAACGCCGAAAAACUCACCAGGGAAGACUGUUACAUGAAGGCCGAGAUGAAGACUCUGCUAGAUUUUCAGAGAGGAGGUGCAUGGCGUCAGUGACU